AAAAUUCUAGACAGCUCCUAACUGGUUUGAAGAGAACACCUAAGCCUCCAAUCCGGUCUAGUAACCUUAGUCGACCAGGUAAGCUCCCAGGUAAGUGGAGGGGUCACGAUGCGUAUAGCAAAGGUCCCACUUAGAACCCACUUUCCUCGAACAGAAACUGUCUCCCUUCAAUCACUUAGAGGGACAAAGCUUGCCUAGACAUCGACCUGGGCCAUAGAGCGAAAUUGGUGCAACUUUCAGUGGUCUUCGUCCUAUUGAGCUCGAAUAUCCUUAGGGGCCAACGUCUAGUUGAUUUUAAUUAGGCUUAGGAUAUUUAUGCACUUGGAUGAUUUUCGGGCUAAGGACGAGUGAUGAAAUCCCGACCU
RNAcentral lists this long non-coding RNA (365 nucleotides) under Phoenix dactylifera (date palm). RNAcentral's name for it is "long non-coding RNA (PDAC_LNC016328)". Lineage: Eukaryota; Viridiplantae; Streptophyta; Magnoliopsida; Arecales; Arecaceae. The record is from RNAcentral.